UCCUGAAAUCUUGUUAAAGUGAAGAAGAC
This 29-nucleotide non-coding RNA is filed under the name Rattus norvegicus (Norway rat). The record is from RNAcentral. Lineage: Eukaryota; Metazoa; Chordata; Mammalia; Rodentia; Muridae.